This 457-nucleotide ribosomal RNA is filed under the name uncultured bacterium. RNAcentral's name for it is "bacterial SSU rRNA". It matches the Rfam family "Bacterial small subunit ribosomal RNA", at positions 340 to 786 of the family's 1533-position model. The record is from RNAcentral.
UACGGAAGGCAGCAGUGGGGAAUAUUGCACAAUGGGCGCAAGCCUGAUGCAGCCAUGCCGCGUGUAUGAAGAAGGCCUUAGGGUUGUAAAGUACUUUCAUCGGGGAGGAAAAACAAAACUAAUAAUUUUAUUUCUUGACGUUACCCGAAAAAGAAGCACCGGCUAACUCCGUGCCAGCAGCCGCGGUAAUACGGAGGGUGCUAGCGUUAAUCAGAAUUACUGGGCGUAAAGAGCACGUAGGUGGUUUUUUUAAGUUCAGAUGUGAAAUCCCCUGGGCUUAACCUAGGAACUGCAUUUUGAAACUGAAAUACUAGAGUAUCGUAGAGGGAGGUAGAAUUCUAGGUGUAGCGGUGAAAUGCGUAGAUAUCUGGAGGAAUACCUGUGGCGAAAGCGGCCUCCUAAACGAAUACUGACACUGAGGUGCGAAAGCGUGGGGAGCAAACAGGGAUUAGAUACC